This 460-nucleotide ribosomal RNA is filed under the name uncultured bacterium. RNAcentral's name for it is "partial 16S ribosomal RNA". It matches the Rfam family "Bacterial small subunit ribosomal RNA", at positions 338 to 795 of the family's 1533-position model. The record is from RNAcentral.
GCUACGGGAGGCAGCAGUGAGGAAUAUUGGUCAAUGGACGCAAGUCUGAACCAGCCAUGCCGCGUGCAGGAAGACGGCUCUAUGAGUUGUAAACUGCUUUUGUACGAGGGUAAACGCAGAUACGCGUAUCUGUCUGAAAGUAUCGUACGAAUAAGGAUAGGCUAACUCCGUGCCAGCAGACGCGGUAAUACGGAGGAUUCAAGCGUUAUCCGGAUUUAUUGGGUUUAAAGGGUGCGUAGGCGGUCGGGUAAGUUAGAGGUGAAAUCGCGGGGCGCAACUUCGGAAUUGCCGCUGAUACUGGUCGGCGAGAGAGUAGUUGCGGUAGGCGGAAUGUAUGGUGUAGCGGUGAAAUGCUUAGAGAUCAUACAGAACACCGAUUGCGAAGGCAGCUUACCAAGCUACUUCUGACGUUGAGGCACGAAAGCGUGGGGAGCAAACAGGAUUAGAUACCCCUGUAGUC